This 422-nucleotide ribosomal RNA is filed under the name uncultured bacterium. RNAcentral's name for it is "bacterial SSU rRNA". It matches the Rfam family "Bacterial small subunit ribosomal RNA", at positions 29 to 496 of the family's 1533-position model. The record is from RNAcentral.
GCGAACGCUGGCGGCAGGCUUAGCACAUGCAAGUCGAGCGGGCGUAGCAAUACGUCAGCGGCAGACGGGUGAGUAACGCGUGGGAACGUACCUUUUGGUUCGGAACAACACAGGGAAACUUGUGCUAAUACCGGAUAAGCCCUUACGGGGAAAGAUUUAUCGCCGAAAGAUCGGCCCGCGUCUGAUUAGCUAGUUGGUGAGGUAACGGCUCACCAAGGCGACGAUCAGUAGCNGGUCUGAGAGGAUGAUCAGCCACAUUGGGACUGAGACACGGCCCAAACUCCUACGGGAGGCAGCAGGUGGGGAAUAUUGGACAAUGGGCGCAAGCCUGAUCCAGCCAUGCCGCGUGAGUGAUGAAGGCCCUAGGGUUGUAAGCCCUUUGUGCGGGAAGAUAAUGACGGUACCGCAAGAAUAAGCCCCGG